Molecule: microRNA precursor, 75 nt
Organism: Myotis lucifugus (little brown bat)
Lineage: Eukaryota; Metazoa; Chordata; Mammalia; Chiroptera; Vespertilionidae
Rfam family: mir-9223 microRNA precursor family
Source: Rfam
GGUGGUUCUUGGGUGACGCAUCCUGUAAUCAGGCUCCCUCCUCUCUGGUUCCAGGUGCAUUACCUGAGAACCACA